RNAcentral lists this ribosomal RNA (450 nucleotides) under uncultured bacterium. Its description in RNAcentral is "partial 16S ribosomal RNA". It matches the Rfam family "Bacterial small subunit ribosomal RNA", at positions 29 to 523 of the family's 1533-position model. The record is from RNAcentral.
AACGAACGCUGGCGGCAUGCCUAACACAUGCAAGUCGAACGAGAUCUUCGGGUCUAGUGGCGCACGGGUGCGUAACGCGUGGGAAUCUGCCCUUUGGUUCGGCAUACCAGUUGGAAAAGACUGCUAAUACCGGAUGAUGACGAAAGUCCAAAGAUUGAUCGCCAGAGGAUGAGCCCGGGUAGGAUUAGCUAGUUGGUGUGGUAAAGGCGCACCAGGGCGACGAGACUUAGGUGAUCUGAGAGGAUGAUCAGCCACACUGGGACUGAGACCACGGCCCAAACUCCUACGGGAGGCAGCAGUGGGGAAUAUUGGACAAGGGGCGAAAGCCUUUUCCAGCAAUACCGCUUGAGUGAUGAGGGCCUUAGGGUUGUAAAGCUCUUUUACCCGGGAUGAUUAUGACAGUACCGGGAGAAUAAGCUCCGGCUAACUCCGUGCCAGCCGCCGCCGUAA